This 439-nucleotide ribosomal RNA is filed under the name uncultured bacterium. RNAcentral describes it as "partial 16S ribosomal RNA". It matches the Rfam family "Bacterial small subunit ribosomal RNA", at positions 339 to 795 of the family's 1533-position model. The record is from RNAcentral.
CUACGGGAUGCACCAGUGAGGAAUAUUGCACAAUGGGGGAAACCCUGAUGCAGCAACGCCGCGUGGAGGAUGACGCAUUUCGGUGUGUAAACUCCUUUUAUCAGAGAAGAAAAUGACGGUAUCUGAUGAAUAAGCUCCGGCUAACUCCGUGCCAGCAGCCGCGGUAAUACGGAGGGAGCAAGCGUUAUUCGGAAUCACUGGGCGUAAAGGACGCGUAGGCGGGUUUUUAAGUCAGGUGUGAAAUCCUAUGGCUCAACCAUAGAACUGCACUUGCAACUGGGGACCUAGAGUAUGGAAGGGGCAGGUGGAAUUAGUGGUGUAGGGGUAAAAUCCGUAGAUAUCACUAGGAAUACCGAAAGCGAAGGCGACCUGCUGGGACAUUACUGACGCUGAGGCGUGAAAGCGUGGGGAGCAAACAGGAUUAGAUACCCCUGUAGUC